AUGGCCACCGUCGACGCCUCUCUCUGGUGGGACCCCUUCUCUCUCUUACUCACCGACCUCGAGAACGCUCCUCUCUCCGACGAGCUCCCUCCCAAUCUGGUCAAGAAAUUGAAGGCCAAUCACGCCUGGUUCGUCGACACAGUCUCCCUCUUCAAGCCGCCCAGCGAGAAAUCGAAGGCCGCUUUGGAUUCACAGCUCGUCAAAAUCGGCUCUCACCAGCUGGAUGUCAAGCCUGAAUUGAAAGACAAGGCUCUCACUAUCAGCUCCUAUUUGUGUCUAGAUGAGGUGCAAUCGUACAUUCUCGUGGAGAGGUCUCUUAAGGAAAACAAUGUAGCUCUUGACUCUGAGGCGCACGAGUAUGUUCAUGCGGUGUUGAUUCACUAUUACAUUGAGCGGCAGUGCUUGCUGAAGUGUACCAGGAGUAUUCUCAUGCUUGCUUGAAUUGACUCUGAAGAACGUAACAGUAUUAAGGAGGAAGCACUGAAGUUGAUUUCUGAUGGAUUGGAGAAGAAAUUAAUAUAUGUGCUGCAAGACCUUUUAUCUUCCAAUCCCCCUGAAGAAAUGGAUGUUGAUCUUUUCAGUUUGUGGGCUGAGGAGACACUAAUCGAAGACAAUUUGGUUUUGGAUAUUCUUUUCCUUGCUUAUUGUGAGUCACUUUGUACUUGCAAAGGUGAAACAUGGAAAGCAUUAUGCUUGCUCUAUAAGGGAAUUUUAUCUGGGUCAUCUAACUUUGAAAAGCUGGCAAUAUCAACUGAAGCACUACAUUCUUCUUACCAAGCCAAAGUUCAGCUUCUUCUAAUUCUAAUAGAAACCCUAGACCUGGAAAGUCUUCUUCGAAUGGUCCAUGAUGAAAUACCUUUCAGGAAUGGUGAAUCUGCUAUUACUUUGGCUGAUAUCCAAGAGAUUGAAGCAAUAAUUUCAACGUUAAAUGCGUUUGAAACAAAAGAGGCGGGCCCAUUAAUUCUUGCAUGGGCAGUGUUUCUUUGUCUGAUUUCAUCACUUCCGGGCAAAGAAGAAAAUGACAUACUAAUGGAAAUUGAUCAUGUUGGUUACGUUCGCCAAGCAUUUGAGGCGUCAUCUUUGACUUAUUUUGUAGAAAUCCUUGAAAGUGAUGUGUUGAAGGAAUCUGAUGGGCCUGUUGCUGGUUAUCUGAGUGUGUUGAGAACUAUUAUAUCUGCAUUUAUCGCAGCUUAUGAGAUCAAUCUCCAGAUGGAAGAUGGCACUCUUAUGUUAAUACUGGAUAUUCUUUGCAAAAUCUAUCAGGGAGAGGAGUCACUUUGUAUCCAGUUCUGGGACCGAGGAAGUUUUAUUGAUGGUCCUAUCCGGUGUCUUCUUUGCAACUUAGAGAGUGAAUUUCCUUUCAGGACUGUGGAGCUUGUUCGCCUUCUAUCAUCCCUUUGUGAAGGAACUUGGCCUGCUGAAUGUGUGUACAACUUUCUGGAUAAGUCUGUUGGGGUAUCAUCCUUGUUUGAGAUUGCGAACAAUUCCUUUAGGGAUGUCCUCUCUCAAACUGUUGAGACGAACUUCCCAUUGCAUGUUCCUGGACUUGAAGGAUUGGUCAUUCCCAGUAAAACUUGUGGCAGUAUAUUGAGAUUAGUUGGUGAAAAUACUGCUCUUGUUCGAUGGGAGUAUACACAAUCGGGGGUGCUAGUGUUGCUCAUGCGCUUGGCCCAAGAGCUAUAUUUCAAAAGAAAUGAAGAAGUUCUUCUUAUCCUCAACCUGCUUAGCAGGAUGGUUACCUUUAGCAUGGCUGUGUGCUUUGCCUUGAUGGAUAUUGGGAGCUCUUUGCAUUUCCAAUCAACUGGCAUGAGUGGGCAGAAUAACAUGUGGGUGGUUGAGAUGAUUAGCACUUUAGUGAGAAGGUUAUCUCCUACUCCUAGUGGUGCUGCUCUAAUGUCCGUGGCUAUAAACACUUUGGCAAAGAUGUUAAAAUGUUCCCCUUUUCAUGUUGCUGAGGUGGCCUUAAAAGCAAAUAUGUUUGAUUUUGAGAUUGGCAACAAUGGUUCAUCAAGUGAAUCAUGGCUACUUUCUGGAAAACUGGCGAAGAUGCUUAUAAUUGACUGUGAACAUAAUGAUAGUGACUGCACAUUGACUAUAUCAGUGCUGGACUUUACUCUGCAGUUCAUGGAAUCAGGUGUGAAGAAUGAUGGUGUACUGGCUUUAAUUGUUUUCUCUCUUCAGUAUGUUCUAGUUAACCACGUGUACUGGAAAUACAAGUUAAAGCAUACUAGAUGGAGAGUGACAUUAAAGGUGCUUGAAGUGUUGAAAUGGUGUAUUACAUCAACUUGCUCUGGAAACCUGGAUGAAGUCAUCCUGGACAGGAUAUUCUGUGAUUCAUCCAUCCAUAAUACUCUCUUUCAGAUUGUUUGUACAACACCACAAACAUUAGAGAGACUAUGCUCCAGUCGUCUUAUUGAGCUAACAGAGGUUGAAGGUUUACAGCUGGCUAUAUGUUCUGUUCUAGAUGUUCUUUUCAUCAUGCUCUCCAAAUUUACUAAGGAUACAUCGUCCAGCCUUCCAAUUUUUCACCAAGCAGUUUUCUCCUCAGCUACAAAACCUAUUCCUUUAGUUGCAGCUCUUGUAUCAUUCAUAUCUUAUUCUCGCAAUCCGCAAAUUCAAGUUGGUGCUGCUAGGGUUCUGUCAGUGUUCUUGAUGAGUGCAGAUAUUAUCCAACCAUAUUUGUUUGGAAGCAGCUUUGGCCUAGAUGAUACACAGAUUGGAGAUCUGAGGCAUGGAAUUAGUGACAUAAUACUUGAGCAGUCAGUACUGAAUGAAGAUCUCUUUGUUGCUGUAGUCAACCUGCUCACUUCUGCUGCACGUUAUCAGCCUGCUUUUCUUGUUGCUGUGUUAUCCACCAAAGUGAAUAAAGAUGUCCAACUGAGUAAUUCUGCUGAUGUGAAGCUGCCAACAAAUGAAGUUCUAUCGAGGUCGUCUGAGUUUGAAAAAGCAAGUGUUGUGGAUGCAGUGCUGCAUCAUGUUAGAAGAUCUAAUGAUCUUAUCAACAGCAAUCCCCGUAUACUUCUGAAUGUUCUCAACUUUCUAAGAGCUCUGUGGCAAGAUGCUGCUCGGUACUUGGAUAUUUUAGAAUGCGUGAAACGCUCUGAAAAUUUCUGGAGAAACUUGUCUAGUUCUAUUACAGUAAUUUUGAGUGCGAAAGCUUGUCCACCUGAGAAUUUAACUGAGGCCGAAGCUGAUGAUUUCGGAUAUAGAUAUCAGUGUGAAUCUUCGAUAUUAGAAAUAAUGGCGCAUGAUGUGUUCCUGCAAAAGAAACUGUUACAUGCAGAGUCACUUGUAAAACAAGCGACUGAAUCACAGGGCAAGAUACAGAAUACAGGGAGAACUGAAAAAUCUGAAGGAGAAAGUCUAGAGGAUAUUUUAUCAGCCUGGUGUGGAAGCUCAGUUUGGGGCAAUCUGACCAAGUCACUAAGUCAUAGUGAAUAUGACACCAGUCUAUAUUUGCGGGCAAAGGUUGCUGCCAGUUCAGUCACCGCCCUUGUCAUGGUGAAAUUAGCACAGGGUGAUGCUGGAAGUUUGUCCGUGCCAUUAUUUGAGAAGUCCCGCAUCCUUUCAAAUAAGCUCAGAAGUCAUCCUGCUUUUUCGGAAGUGUUAGCUAAAUACUCACUGCGUAGUUACAGUGCAGAGAAGGAACAAAAUUAUUUGAUACUCAGCGAUCUUUAUUAUCAUCUGCAAGGGGAGGUAGAAGGCCGUGAAAUUGGUGCUGGAUCGUUUAAAGCACUCUCUCGGUUCCUAAUUGAAUCAAACAUUUUUCAGACAUACCAACUAAAGUAUGAUGGCGAUCUUUUUAUAACUGGCAAAGAUGCAUACAUGUUUGAUCUGGAACGUAUAAGAGCUGAUUUGGGAUUAGAUUUUUGGGAUUAUUCAACGUGGAAGGAUUCAAAGGCGAUUGCUGAAACAAUGUUGCAUCACAUGAAAAAUGUGAACUCAAUGGUAUUCCUCACAAGCUCGAAACUUUCCGCACUGAGAGCAUUAAGAAGUGUUCUAACUGUAUACUUGGAUGAUUCACUGGAGGCGAAGAGCACAGCGCAAGAGAUGUCUGAUCAACUGGUUUUCCCAUGCAUAGAUCACAUAUGCCAGAAUUUCCUUGAUACAGUAGAAUUAUUGGCUCCAGAACUUGGUGCCUCUGAAGAAAUCUUUCACUUCCUUGCAGCUCAAGCAGAAUUGCUUCUAUACCUUAUGAUUUCUGCACACAAGAGCUUGCCUCCAUCUGUUUGCAUUCUUGUGCUAAAAACAUCAGCUGCUGGCCUCAAAGUGUUGAGUGAUUUCCAACCAUUAGUUACUGGGUCAUCAGUUUCUGUGGUUAGCUCUACAGUCAAGCUGUUACUGAUGCUGCUUCUCUCAGCAGUGAAGUUAAGUUUGGUUGGGGGAAGAGAUAUGGUAUCUGUUGAAGACAUGGCUAAAAUAUCUAAUAUGAGUCUACGUCUGCUACCAAUUCUCUGUAACCAUAUUGCUAGUGCUGAGGAUUGCAGACUCUCGCUCACUAAUAUGGACUUGAUAUUGAGAAAUUUCUUGACUCCCAACACUUGGUUUCCCCUCAUACAGAAUCACCUCCAGCUUCAGCAUGUUAUUCUGAAACUUCAAGAUAGGAAGUCUCUCGAGUCUGUGCCUAUUAUAAUGAAGUUCUUUUUGACUCUUGCUCGUGUGAGGCAGGGUGCAGAGAUGCUUAUAAAUCACGGAUUUCUAUCGUCUCUGAGAUUCUUGUUUACUGAAUACUUGGAUGAUAGGUCUGCUUCAGUAACAAUGGCGAAUAGUCUUUCCAACUCAUCUGACAUAAUGGAAAAGCCUAAACGAAUAUGGGGACUGGGUUCAGCUGUCAUCACAGCUAUGGUUCAGUCACUAGGAGACAGUUCUGCUUGUUCUGAUGUUGUGGAGAAUGUAAUACCCUACUUCUUUUCCGAGAAAGCAUAUAUCAUUUCAUACUAUCUCAGUGCACCGGAGUUCCCAUCUGAUGAUCAUGACAAGAAAAGACUUCGUGCUCAGCAGAGACAAACCUCCCUUACUGAGCUUAAAGAAACUGAGCACACUCUCAUGCUAAUGUGUGUGCUGGCAAAACAUUGGAAUACAUGGGUUAAGGCCAUGAAAGAAUUGGAUUCCCAGUUGAGAGAGAAAAGCAUCCAUCUUUUAGCAUUCAUCAGCAGGGGAACUCAACGCCUUGGAGAAACUGCAAGUUCUAGUGCCCCACUCAUAUGUCCUCCUAUGCUUAAAGAUGAAUUAAAUAGUUGCAAGAAACCCUCGUUUGUCAACAGUAGUUGUGGAUGGUUUGCUCUUUCACCACUUGGUUGUGUUUCAAAACCAAAAGUGUCAGCUGCCUCAAUCACAUCAAUGGCGCUGACUACUAAAACUCAAGCAACUGCAAAUGGAUAUCACAUUUCCCAAUCGCACUUCUCAGACAUUAUUGCCCUGCAGAUUUACAAAAAUACUUUUCUCUUAUUGAAGUUUCUCUGUUUACAAGCUGAGUGUGCUUCUAGAAGGGCAGAGGAGGUGGGAUUUGUUGAUCUUGACCAUUUUCCUGAGCUUCCAAUGCCUGAGAUCUUGCAUGGCUUACAGGAUCAAGCAAUUGCCAUCAUUACAGAAGUGUGUGAAGCUAACAGAGUGAAGGAGAUUCAAAUCGAAGUCCAGUCUAUAUGUUGUUUAUUGCUACAAAUAAUGGAGAUGGCGAUGUACUUGGAACUUUGUGUUCACCAGAUAUGUGGCAUAAGACCAGUGCUAGGGCGUGUAGAAGAUUUUUCGAAGGAAGUUAAACUGUUGAUAAAAGCAACGGAGACGCAUGCUUUCAUGAAACCGUCUCUGAAGUCCUUGAAGCAGAUAAUGGUGGUUGUCUAUCCCGGAUUGGUACAGGCAGAGGACUUUUUGUGAGAUAGGUCUUAGAUUCUUAGUGUGCAUAGGUGAAAGCAGUAGAGUUGUAAAGAAGGCCAGAAUUUGGCAUAACCUUCUUCUCUGGCAUUUCUUGUAACACGAAUAGCUAAUUCACUCUCUGUUCUAGACUUCUAGAUUACAAUUUAGAAUAUAUCUGUUCAAUCUGUCACAUG
Molecule: RNA transcript, 6047 nt
Organism: Fragaria vesca subsp. vesca
Lineage: Eukaryota; Viridiplantae; Streptophyta; Magnoliopsida; Rosales; Rosaceae
Exons: 32
Source: RefSeq, a predicted model, not a curated record